AUUGAUGGGCGGGUGCCCCGGGCGGAGGGGGGCACAGACGUGCCAGCUUGUGCAGGCUGCCCGGGGAUUGUGGAUUGUGCCCGCGGGUUUACCCUCUUAACCCCGGGACCGACUGCGGCGUGCGACACCUCGGAGCACAAAUCCGAUGGAAUGCUGCCGGCAAACAGCCCUGGAGCAAACUGGGAGGCAAAAGCACAGGAACACCUGUGUCGGAUGGCCCGGGAGGGUUUUGGUGCUGCGGGAGGCCCUGGGAGUGCUGCUCAGAGGAAGGAAGAAGUUUUAUUUCAGGGAAGAGAAUUAAAAACCAAACAAAGCAAAGCAACCCCGCAGCAGCUGCAGGGAAAAUGCACAUCUGCAACCGUGGGGUGUGAGGAGAUGGGGCCAAGAAUGUGAGUGCUGGCACCACACAGGGGAAGGGAUCUGAGGAAGCACAAAGAACAUUAAACUCUUCUAGUUUUUAAAGGAUCAAAGCUGAAACACCUGCUUUGUGCCUGCCCAAAACACUCUGUUUCCAUGUGGGGCUCUCUUGGUCUGGAUUAGCCACAGCACUGUUGACUCAUGAAGGAUUUUAGUGCUCAUUUGCUGACCCAAAGCCUCAAAAUAGGAUCAAAUAUAAUUCUCCUGAAUCAAAAAACUGCUCCACACCAUUCCUAACACCAAGUGUGGAGUGGUGGCUGUGAGCCAUGGUGGUCACCCCAGUGUGGAGGUCCCUGAUGCCCAGCAGAGCUCUCCCCAACUCCACCAGGAUCAGCUGGAGCUCUUCAUCCCAUCCCCACGAAGGGGAGAGCACCUGGCAGGCUCCCCACUCCCCAGUUAAGCAGGAAGGGCCCUUUGGGGCCACACUGGUGGCUCUGAGCACCCCAAAGGGGACAGGCAGCUGUGUCUGCCUCCCCACAGCCCCGCUGCCCACGCAGGGAGGGGACAGUGCUGUGACACCCCAGCUCCCCCAAGGAAAGGUGAGUGCCAGCAGCUGGGAAGACAUCGGUGCACCCCAGGCCUUUGCACUGCAAUUGUCAACCUGUGGUCAUUAGCUUUAGGUUUUUCCUUUUUUUUUUUUUUUUUUUAUUGUGUAAACAGAUAACCAUUUUCUCUCACAA
Vidua chalybeata is the source of this 1097-nucleotide long non-coding RNA. RefSeq lists it as uncharacterized. NCBI's taxonomy places the organism in Eukaryota, Metazoa, Chordata, Aves, Passeriformes, Viduidae. The record is from RefSeq and is a predicted model, not a curated record. The transcript is spliced from 2 exons.